RNAcentral lists this ribosomal RNA (567 nucleotides) under Atalophlebia sp. EBU39243. RNAcentral's name for it is "eukaryotic LSU rRNA". It matches the Rfam family "Eukaryotic large subunit ribosomal RNA", at positions 2342 to 2830 of the family's 3401-position model. Lineage: Eukaryota; Metazoa; Arthropoda; Insecta; Ephemeroptera; Leptophlebiidae. The record is from RNAcentral.
CUCCUAUCUACUAUCUAGCGAAACCACUGCCAAGGGAACGGGCUUGGAAGAAUUAGCGGGGAAAGAAGACCCUGUUGAGCUUGACUCUAGUUUGGCAAUGUGAGGAGACAUGAGAGGUGCAGAAUAAGUGGGAGGUCGUUCUGCGGGCCGCCAGUGAGAUACCACUACUUUCAUUGUUUCCUCACUUACUCGGUUAGGCGGAGCGCGUGCGCGCGACUCGUUCGCCGCGCACGGUGUUCUCGCGCUAAGGGGGUCCCGUGGCCGGUGCGUUGGGCGCGCGGUGUGUCGUUCGCGGCCGCCGCCGCCUGCGCUCGGUCCUCUCCCGAUCCGAUCCGAGGACACUGCCAGGCGGGGAGUUUGACUGGGGCGGUACAUCUGUCAAAUAAUAACGCAGGUGUCCUAAGGCCAGCUCAGCGAGGACAGAAACCUCGCGUAGAGCAAAAGGGCAAAUGCUGGCUUGAUCCCGAUGUUCAGUACGCAUAGGGACUGCGAAAGCACGGCCUAUCGAUCCUUUUGGUUUGGAGAGUUUCCAGCAAGAGGUGUCAGAAAAGUUACCACAGGGAUAAC